RNAcentral lists this ribosomal RNA (253 nucleotides) under uncultured microorganism. Its description in RNAcentral is "partial 16S ribosomal RNA". It matches the Rfam family "Bacterial small subunit ribosomal RNA", at positions 524 to 776 of the family's 1533-position model. The record is from RNAcentral.
UACGUAGGGUGCGAGCGUUAAUCGGAAUUACUGGGCGUAAAGCGAGCGCAGGCGGCCCGUUAAGACAGGUGUGAAAUCCCUGGGCUCAACCUAGGAAUUGCGCUUGUGACUGGCGGGCUCGAGUACGGUAGAGGGGGGUGGAAUUCCUGGUGUAGCAGUGAAAUGCGUAGAGAUCAGGAGGAACACCGAUGGCGAAGGCAGCCCCCUGGGCCUGUACUGACGCUCAUGCACGAAAGCGUGGGGAGCAAACAGG